Long non-coding RNA from Schistocerca americana (American grasshopper), 1040 nucleotides. RefSeq lists it as uncharacterized. The transcript has 2 exons. The record is from RefSeq and is a predicted model, not a curated record. NCBI's taxonomy places the organism in Eukaryota, Metazoa, Arthropoda, Insecta, Orthoptera, Acrididae.
GGCAGAGUGGAGUGCGCCAUGAAGAGCUCGGGCACGGCUUGCAACUUUCUGCUGCUGACGAUGGUCGCAGUCUCCAGCGGCCGCAACGCCGCGGAGUACUUCCAGCAGGCGAGAUUCCAGUACCCUCCGUCGAGGCCCGACGACGCCUUCGUCAUCUUCACAGCCACUGCUCCGCCCCUCAUUUGCGAGCCGGAGAUGGAGGCCAACUGGAUCGGAGGAGACAGCUUAAAAACCGAUCUCAUUCUCGAGACGCCAAGUGCCGGAUCGUACUACACGUGCUCUUUCGAAGGAAACGCAACAACGGACACUAAUCUGAAACUGAUUCAAAAAAGUCUGCCAGAUGUUUUCACUUCCACAGGUCAACGGAGAGUAAAGUUUAGCUUCAGCGGAAUGUACUGCAUUACCGAUUCGAAGCUACCGGGUGAAUAUUUCGACUUGAGAAUACAGCGCCCUAACGAGGAACAUCCAGUGAAAUGUAUCCGUGGUGUUGCAGGGGCCUUAUAUCUCAGGUUUCCGGGAUACCCAACCAUAAUUUGCAAAACUUUUGGGCGUGUUGAUCUUUCUUAUCGUUUUAAUCUACCGGGUAUAGUUGGUGAUCGGAUGGCAUGCGCAUUCCAGGUGUACGUAGACUUACCGACAUCGAACAAGAACACAGAAAAACUGCUUUACGAGUCUCUGGUUAGCACACUCCCCUUCCGUGUGGAUGGCCGACUGCCAGACUUCGUAUGCUCUCUCCAAACAGGCCCAUACGGAACCGCCCACUUACAGGUGCGAUUCCCGGGAGCUGCUACUUAUGCUUGCAAUUUCCCCGACACUUAAUAAGCACCAUUUCUGACGGACUGCCACGUCGUCACAAGGGGCGACAACCUGUUUCUACGAUGCUGUGGAAGCAUUCAGAAUAUGAGAAAGCCGGAAAGCAGUCUUCGUAUACUGUAAUUAAUUUCAGUAAGCAAUUAUAUGCCAUUAUGUCAUGUAAAGCUUAUGAAAGACAAAAAAAUUUCUGAAACUGCAAUAAAUACCAGCCAGUGAUUAUAAAUGUU